RNAcentral lists this ribosomal RNA (450 nucleotides) under uncultured bacterium. RNAcentral describes it as "partial 16S ribosomal RNA". It matches the Rfam family "Bacterial small subunit ribosomal RNA", at positions 354 to 796 of the family's 1533-position model. The record is from RNAcentral.
GUGGGGAAUAUUGGACAAUGGGCGAAAGCCUGAUCCAGCCAUGCCGCGUGUGUGAAGAAGGUCUUCGGAUUGUAAAGCACUUUAAGUUGGGAGGAAGGGCAGUAAGUUAAUACCUUGCUGUUUUGACGUUACCGACAGAAUAAGCACCGGCUAACUUCGUGCCAGCAGCCGCGGUAAUACGAAGGGUGCAAGCGUUAAUCGGAAUUACUGGGCGUAAAGCGCGCGUAGGUGGUUUUGUAAGUUAGGAGUGAAAGCCCAGGGCUCAACCUUGGAAUUGCUCUUAAAACUGCAAGGCUCGAAUCUCGGAGAGGAUAGCGGAAUUUCCAGUGUAGCAGUGAAAUGCGUAGAUAUUGGAAGGAACACCAGUGGCGUAAGCGGCUAUCUGGACGAGUAUUGACGCUGAGGCACGAAAGCGUGGGGAUCAAACAGGAUUAGAAACCCCUGUAGUCC